Molecule: non-coding RNA, 2796 nt
Organism: Anas platyrhynchos (mallard)
Lineage: Eukaryota; Metazoa; Chordata; Aves; Anseriformes; Anatidae
Source: RefSeq, a predicted model, not a curated record
CCGAGCGGCUCCCGCUCCCGCUCCCCAGCCCGAGCCCGAGCCCGCCGCGGGCCCCCGCCCGGAAGCCUCCGCCGCCUCCCCACGGAAGCGCUGCCGGCGCCUGCGCGCUGCCCGGCCGGCCCCCAUGGCGCUGCUCGGCCGCCCGCGGGAGCGGCCCCCGCCGCCCUGCCGGGCUCCGCCGCGGCCGCCCUUCUCCUUCGCCCCGCGCCGCCUGCGCCUGGGCCCGCAGCACCCGCUGCUGGAGGGCGGCGACGUGCAGAGGCACCUGUACCUGCGGGACGCCCUGACGGACCGGGCCGAGGAGGCAGAGAGACCCAGGGUGUCUGAAUUCUGUUGUCACAUCUCUGGGUGCUCCCAGGUCUUUGACACCCUGGAGGGCUACGAGCACCACUACAACACACUGCACAGGAACGUCUGCUCCUUCUGCAAGCGCUCCUUUCCUUCAGGGCAUCUCUUGGAUAUCCACAUCUUGGAGUGGCAUGACUCACUUUUCCAGAUAAUGGCUGAGAAACAGAACAUGUACAAGUGCUUGGUAGAAGGCUGUACAGAGAAAUUCAAGAGCAGCAAAGACAGAAAGGAUCACUUGGUCACCAUUCACCUUUAUCCUGCUGACUUCCGAUUUGGUAGACCAAAGAAAGUGAAAAGGGCUCACAUGGCAUCUGCUGAGAAAGGAUACAAAAUGUUGUCUCUGCAGUGGCACCAAGCACAUGAGCUGUCCCAUGCAGCAGGGUGCAAGUGUGCCAAUGGAUGUCAGCAUGGAGACUUCGGAGCAAUUCCAAGUGGACCCCAUGGAAGUAGGGCCCAGUGAGAGAAUGGAGAUCCCUCAGCGUGCAGCCAGCCCCAGCCCCACAGUGCCAGAGAAACGACUCUAUAAAUCCAGGGUCCCAUCCACAAUUUGCUUUGGGCAAGGUGCCACCAGGGGAUUCAAAGGCCCAAGGAAGAAAGUCUGAAGCACUAGAGAUAAUCACAAGAUGAAAAUGUACCAUCUGCCACCACCAGCAAACAUUAUCGGUGGUGCCGUGGCCAUGCAGGAAUAUUUGCAGUCACAUGCAAGGAUCCACUCCCUUACAGGAAAGUGGAAAGAAGACAACAGGGGUUGUGCGGUUUGGGAUGCAUAAGUAUCUCGGGAGGUACUUUGCUACAGUCCCUUUGUGUCUGCAUACCUCAUCCCUUGGAGAGGAUUUCUGAGCAGAGCCAUGUUUAUAUUCAUCCUCCAUGAGCCACAAAGCUCUCUUCUCUGAUACCCCCAAAACCAAGCUACAGAUAAAUUUGUCUGCCUCUGUGCUGCCGAGUUGUUGUGUCUCGUCAUCAGCAGGACUCCUCUGGGUAGUAGCAACUUUCUAGACAUACCUUGCUUGAUCUUGGUAAAUGAUUUUCUGAACUCCAGACAGACACAAGAAUUGCACAGAUUUAAUCACUGCCAAAAAUGCAGCAGGGGUAACACAGAGAAACAUCCACUGUAUGCCAUCUUCUAGGAAGCCCUUCAUCCUCCCAACCCCAUCAGCUGGCCUGCUGGAUGAGUAUCACACUUCCCUACCAGCCCCUGCAGAACUGUGUUUGUAUGGAGCAGUGUCUGAGAAGGGCUGUUGUUGGAGUGGCUUAGGGCUGCGCUGCUCCUGAGUGAAACCAUGCAUGCAGAAAAAAACAUUAUAUUUGCCAUACCUGUAUCUUCUGCAAUCUUGCCUUAAGUGUACUGAGCAGAGUAUGUCUGAAAGCCCCUAGAUAACAAGGCACAACACUUUCACAGUCUAGCUUACUUUUCGUCUGAUGUUUUCUAGCAGCAUUAUUGAAAGAUGAUGGUGCAAACAGCCCUUCCGACAGCAUAUGGACAUGGGGUGGGGUGGACUUCAGUUUCUUGUCACCAGUUGUUAGCAAAAAGUUCCAGCCUGCAGCAGUGGUGCAAUGUGGAGGUGAGAGUAAAGGUGCUGUCUUGCAAUGCAGGUGGAGCCAGAAAGGCAGAAGGAACCUUUGGCCUUUGCCCCAAAUAACUCCAAAAUCAAUUGAUGAUGGAGAUGAUUUUUCCAUCCAUAAAGAAAAAAAAUAAUCACAGGAGGUUGCUGGUAUGGCAUUUAUCCAAGAAGCUUAGGAUCUGUAAUUGCUUUUUUCCCUUUCUGCUCUCUAGAAGAAACAAAGGGCAAAAAAAAAGGCUUUGGAAAUGCCUUGCAAAUAGGAGCAGAGAGCAAUUUUUAAAGGGACAUAAGUGAUUUCCUUGUGAGUUUUAAAAUGUUUCAUUAUGAUUAAAACAGCUGGUUUGUCCAGCUUUAAUCCUUGCUCCUCAGCUACAGUGGUCCCUGGCCAACAAACCAACCGGAGCUGAGUAAAGUGGAGGGAAAUGUGGAAAGGGAGGGCAGGGACAGAGUGAAGGCUGUGCAGAGGGAAGCACACGUGCUGGUAGGGACAAGUGGGGUGGAGGAUAUUACAUAAGGAGGGAUGUCACCCCACAUCUGGUGCCUGCCACCACCCACAACUUCAGCAGUGCAGCAAGCGCCAUGCGCUGCCCUGGGACCUCCAGCAGCAGAGGCAGGCCAUCAAAAAAAGCACGUCCCAAAGCAGGAAGCCCCUAAUGAGAUAUUUCCAUGCUGAGAUAACUGAAAAUGUUAAGUCUCUGAACCUGCAGGCUCAGGUGCGCUGAGGUAUGAAGAUCACACGGGAGAAACCAAGUCUGCUGCUCAGUGCUCCCCCUUGUAUGUUUAGCUCUGAAGCUUCCACCUGGAAACAUCUUCAUUUUUCCCAGACUCUAAGCGUCUGAGUGUCCACCCUUGGUCUUAAAAAAGAAGUAAAAAUCAUAAUCACAGA